RNAcentral lists this ribosomal RNA (489 nucleotides) under uncultured bacterium. RNAcentral describes it as "partial 16S ribosomal RNA". It matches the Rfam family "Bacterial small subunit ribosomal RNA", at positions 28 to 507 of the family's 1533-position model. The record is from RNAcentral.
GAUGAACGCUAGCGGCAGGCUUAAUACAUGCAAGUCGAGGGGCAGCAGGACUGUAGCAAUACAGUUGCUGGCGACCGGCAAACGGGUGCGGAACACGUACGCAACCUACCCAAAACUGGGGGAUAGCCCGGGGAAACCCGGAUUAAUACCUCGUAACCUUUUUAAGUGGCAUCACUUGAUAAGUAUAGCUCCGGCGGUUUUGGAUGGGCGUGCGCCUGAUUAGGUAGUUGGUGCGGGUAACGGCCCACCAAGCCUGCGAUCAGUAACUGGUGUGAGAGCACGACCAGUCACACGGGCACUGAGACACGGGCCCGAAUCCUACGGGAGGCAGCAGUAAGGAAUAUUGGUCAAUGGACGCAAGUCUGAACCAGCCAUGCCGCGUGAAGGAUGAAGGCCCUCUGGAUUGUAAACUUCUUUUAUGGGGGACGAAACCCGGAUAUUCUUAUCCGAUUGACGGUACCUCAGGAAUAAGCACCGGCUAACUCCGUG